CGGACGGGUGAGUAAUGCUUGGGAAUCUGGCUUAUGGAGGGGGAUAACUACGGGAAACUGUAGCUAAUACCGCGUAGUGUCGGGAGACGAAAGUGCGGGACCGAAAGGCCGCAUGCCAUGAGAUGAGCCCAAGUGGGAUUAGGUAGUUGGUGGGGUAAAGGCCUACCAAGCCUGCGAUCUCUAGCUGGUCUGAGGGGAUGGCCAGCCACACUGGAACUGAGACACGGUCCAG
This 232-nucleotide ribosomal RNA is filed under the name uncultured bacterium. Its description in RNAcentral is "partial 16S ribosomal RNA". It matches the Rfam family "Bacterial small subunit ribosomal RNA", at positions 99 to 334 of the family's 1533-position model. The record is from RNAcentral.